AUACUGACGAGUCCCGAAUAGGACGAAAUGCGCGUCCUGGAU
This 42-nucleotide non-coding RNA is filed under the name Schistosoma bovis. RNAcentral also lists the same sequence under 2 other names. The record is from RNAcentral. Lineage: Eukaryota; Metazoa; Platyhelminthes; Trematoda; Strigeidida; Schistosomatidae.